Corvus moneduloides (New Caledonian crow) is the source of this 133-nucleotide small nuclear RNA. Its record names the gene U2. It matches the Rfam family "U2 spliceosomal RNA". Rfam says of the family: U2 is a small nuclear RNA (snRNA) component of the spliceosome (involved in pre-mRNA splicing). Complementary binding between U2 snRNA (in an area lying towards the 5' end but 3' to hairpin I) and the branchpoint sequence (BPS) of the intron results the bulging out of an unpaired adenosine, on the BPS, which initiates a nucleophilic attack at the intronic 5' splice site, thus starting the first of two transesterification reactions that mediate splicing. Lineage: Eukaryota; Metazoa; Chordata; Aves; Passeriformes; Corvidae. The record is from Ensembl.
ACCCCUAACAGCACAGAGAAGGCAGGGUUUCCUUCAAAUGGUUUUUGCGCUCGGGAGUUGGACCCGGAGCUUGCUCCCUCCGCUCCGCGCAUCGUCCCGGUAUUGCAGUGCCUCCGGGAACGGUGCACCCCAA